GCGGAAUUGAGUAAUUGGGAACUCGUCAGGCUCAUAACCUGAAAGUUGCAGGUUCAAGUCCUGCUUCCGCUC
This 72-nucleotide transfer RNA is filed under the name Monomastix sp. OKE-1. RNAcentral describes it as "tRNA-Met". It matches the Rfam family "tRNA". Rfam says of the family: Transfer RNA (tRNA) molecules are approximately 80 nucleotides in length. Their secondary structure includes four short double-helical elements and three loops (D, anti-codon, and T loops). Lineage: Eukaryota; Viridiplantae; Chlorophyta; Mamiellophyceae; Monomastigales; Monomastigaceae. The record is from RNAcentral.